CCCGUUUCCCAAAAUCAAUUUAAUUAUAAUUAUAAAAUCAGAGUUCCACGUUAAACGGCAUGUCACACUACAAAAUAUAAAUUCUUAAAUAGAUUAAAACUAUUUAACAACAUCCUUCAUUAAACUGCAGCGGAAUAUUCUUUAAAUUAAACUCCAUUAUCCAAAAUAAUCUUGGCAUUAAGCCUCAACAUGAAAAUUCAACAUAAAACAUGGACUACAUUAAUUUGUUCCAAAAUUUGAUACAUAGGUAGAAACUUAAACUAUAAAUCCCAACCCACGCAUCAGAGUCCUAGACACAUUGAGCCACCACCAACUACUCAGGAUCACCUGCAAGUUACCCAUAGGAAGGGCAACAUUUUCAAGCAGAAGGGGUGAGAUUCACAACAAAAUAUAGAUAAAGAAUAUAUCAAUUGAAUCUAACACCCUAUCAUAAAUCAUCAACAUUAUUAUUUACAUAACAUCAUUUUCGCAUCUUAUCACAAUAUUAAAUCAUACACCUCUCAACAAUAUAUGCAACUUAUCACCACUCCACUAAGACUCCUCUAAACUCCCAUGCAUGUGGUACCAAAAAUCAGGGCCGUGACCCACACCGCUGUCGAAUGGUUAAAGCAUUCUCAACAGGACAUAAGUCCUCACCACUACACCACUUUGAGUAACUAGUACUCCACCACUUUGAACGACUAAGCAUUCCAGAGCCGAAGCUCUCCCACUGUUAUGUUUAUGCAACUAAUCCCCAUAGAGUAUAUCUACAUACCAACCAACCUAUACAUAUACAUAUAUAUGAUUCACCAAUCAACCUUCAUCUUUAAGGAAAUUUUAAUUAUAUACAACACACAUCAGUCAACAUCCAUUCAUCAAACCAACUAAAGCAUCCAGGGAAAUAUAUAUCAGCAUACAAGCCAUGCAAUAAUUCAACAAAAUACACCAUCCAAACAACAACAGAAAUUAACCAACCAAAUACUGGGCAGCUCGCCUCGCGAGCUCAUCUACUCGCUAUGGCGAGCUCAGGAAACAGGUACUCGCCAUGGCGAGUUGGAGGCGAACUCGAGGCGAACAGAAAUAUGGUGCUCUCGGGAAAAAUGACAUUUUUCUCACUCAAACCUCAAUUCUAAGCUCCCUAAUCAUCUUUUGAACUUAAAACUUGCUUUAGUCCUCUUAAGAAUCAUCUAGGUACACGAAACUACCCAAAAUACGGCUUAUAACAACUUUUUCAAAAUCCAGAUUUUUACAAGGUUACUCGCCAUGGCGAGCUGUAUCACUCGCGAGGCGAGCGAUGAAGUUGUUCACUCGCUAUGGCGAGCAAUGGCUACUCGUGAGGCGAGCGAUGAACUUCAGUACGGGCAGAAUGCAGGUUUUCCCCAAAAAUCCCAUUUUUCCUCAAUUCACUCCCCAAAUUAGCUUACAGAUAUGCAAUGAAAGGUUUUAUGCACCCAGAACCCAUUUCUACCCUCAAUUCUAUGAUCUCUACACUCAAAACUCCUUAAUCAACAAAAACCCAAUUUCUCCCAAAUCCUCACAUAAACCUGUUAGAACACAAUCAACAUUCAGAAUCUAUAUAAUUGCGGUAAACCUCACCCUUACCUUAGAAUUGCAGAAAAAAUACAGCAGCAAAUGAUUCCUAAGCUUCUCUCCCUUGCACUAGCUUUUCUCCCAAAACCAGACUGUUUUCACGUAAAACUGUUUUCUCUAUUUUUCUUUCCUUUUCUCAACUCCCAAAAUGUAACCUCCCACUCCCUAAUUAGCAAUUAACUCCCUACUAAUUAUGUUAAUUAUUUCAUAACCCCCAAAAUAAUAAUUAAUCCUAUUCUUAUAUUAUUUUAAUUAUUUAAUAAAAUAAUCAUAUAAAAAUAAAUAUACACUACAUAAAUCACCAAAAAUCACAUAAAUGACACCACACAAUUAAAAAUAAUUAAAUAAAAAUUAGAGUGUUACAAUAAAAGUCCUGCGUGAUCUUAAUACCAAGUGUUUCACCCCGAAUAUAAGGUACGGGUAAAUUGUCAUUCGAUACCGCCUUAUUCGUGCAUGUCAGUGCCUGUGCAAAUGAGACCGGCGAAGGAACCACCGGUACGUAAGGUGUGGAAACCCUCCCGGCAGUGGGAAUUGGGGCUGGAACCCUCAGCUCAGCCUGCCAGUCGAACAUGGCAGCUGAGAUCACCCCUCACAAAAUAGGUCAGAGAAUUGACAGUUAAAGGUGGCCAGAGCAGUCGCCAAUUAAGCAAUUAUCACAAUUAUAACAAACCUUUCAAGCAAGAUAACCUUUGAAAUAUCUCAAAUACUUGUCAUCAUGCAAUGAUAGAAUCCGCAAAGAUUCUGAAAUAUUCUAUGUGAAAAUAAUUUUUAUAAUAAUAACACUUAUAAAAAAUAUUAUUUUAGAGAGUUAUGAUUGUGAAAAUUCUUAGACUCAAUUUUGUAUAUUCUUGCAUCGAAUAUUCUAUAGGAUUAGCAUAUAUAUUCUUGAUUUGUGGGUUUAAAACUUUUGUCAAAUCUUGAAAAGAUCAUAUAUUAAACACACAUCAGAGUAAUUAAAUUCAAAUUGGGCAUGUCACAGUACAUUUUCAAAACUCUUAAAUAGAAAUGUAAAACUAUUCAAUAAACCUUCAUCAAUAAUGUCAUUAAUCUGCAGCGGAAUAUUUAUAUUUAAGCAACAACGUUAACCGUUUAAACUUCCAAAAACAUCUUGGCAUAAAAAGCCUCAACCAAAAUAAUUCAUCAACCAUAGGGCUACAACAACAUUAACCAAAAUUUGAUACAUAGAAUGAAAGAAAACAAUAAAAUCCCAUCCCACGUAUCAGAGCCCUAGACACUUUGAGCCACCACCUACUACUCAGGAUCACCUGCAAGUUACCCAUAGGAAGGGCAACGUUUCCAAGCAGAAGGGGUGAGAUUCUCAAUCAAUA
Molecule: long non-coding RNA, 2897 nt
Filed under: Medicago truncatula (barrel medic)
Lineage: Eukaryota; Viridiplantae; Streptophyta; Magnoliopsida; Fabales; Fabaceae
Description: long non-coding RNA (MTRU_LNC004313)
Source: RNAcentral